RNAcentral lists this ribosomal RNA (301 nucleotides) under uncultured bacterium. Its description in RNAcentral is "partial 16S ribosomal RNA". It matches the Rfam family "Bacterial small subunit ribosomal RNA", at positions 509 to 807 of the family's 1533-position model. The record is from RNAcentral.
CAGUAGCCGCGGUAAUACGGAGGGGGCUAGCGUUGUUCGGAAUUACUGGGCGUAAAGCGCACGUAGGCGGCUUGGUAAGUUAGAGGUGAAAGCCUGGAGCUCAACUCCAGAAUUGCCUUUAAGACUGCCGAGCUAGCAGGUGAGAGAGGUAAGUGGAAAUCCGAGUGUAGAGGUGAAAUUCGUAGAUAUUCGGAAGAACACCAGUGGCGAAGGCGGCUUACUGGCUCAUACUGGACGCUGAGGUGCGAAAGCGUGGGGAGCAAACAGGAUUAGAUACCCCUGUAGUCCCUGUCUCUUAUAC